This 164-nucleotide non-coding RNA is filed under the name uncultured Methanomethylophilus sp. Lineage: Archaea; Methanobacteriati; Thermoplasmatota; Thermoplasmata; Methanomassiliicoccales; Methanomethylophilaceae. The record is from RNAcentral.
UCCGUGAGGAUGUGACUGAAAGAGGCCCGAGACAAAACCCCGAGCCUACGUACAGAAACCGCAUGUGAGGUCGCUCAGGACGGAUGACCUGGCAAUGAACAGGGAAGUCCCAUAUCCCCACGAAGUCCUGGAGAUAGAUGCGGAGGUUAAUGGGGGGAAAGAGA